Molecule: ribosomal RNA, 449 nt
Filed under: uncultured bacterium
Lineage: Bacteria
Description: partial 16S ribosomal RNA
Rfam family: Bacterial small subunit ribosomal RNA
Source: RNAcentral
AGCGAACGCUGGCGGCAGGCCUAACACAUGCAAGUCGAACGGACCUUUCGGGGUUAGUGGCGGACGGGUGAGUAACUCGUGGGAACGUGCCUUUAGGUUCGGAAUAGCUCCUGGAAACGGGUGGUAAUGCCGAAUGUGCCCUUAGGGGGAAAGAUUUAUCGCCUUUAGAGCGGCCCGCGUCUGAUUAGCUAGUUGGUGAGGUAAUGGCUCACCAAGGCUACGAUCAGUAGCUGGUCUGAGAGGAUGACCAGCCACAUUGGGACUGAGACACGGCCCAAACUCCUACGGGAGGCAGCAGUGGGGAAUCUUGCGCGAUGGGCGAAAGCCUGACGCAGCCAUGCCGCGUGGAUGAUGAAGGUCUUAGGAUUGUAAAAUCCUUUCACCGGUGAAGAUAAUGACUGUAGCCGGAGAAGAAGCCCCGGCUAACUUCGUGCCAGCAGCCGCCGUAA